Molecule: long non-coding RNA, 1612 nt
Organism: Macaca fascicularis (crab-eating macaque)
Lineage: Eukaryota; Metazoa; Chordata; Mammalia; Primates; Cercopithecidae
Source: Ensembl
CUCCACCCCACCAGGCCACACCCCGCCACACCCCGCCCUGGCCCUGAGGCUCCACCGAAGCCGCGCCCAGAGGCUCAGUCUUUGCAGGGAUUCAAAGCCUUCGCGGUGUUUAAUUUGGUGGCAGGCUCCAGUAAGCUAAGACCAGAAGCUCUGGAGCUUGGGGUCGAUGCUCUUGUUCUGGGAGUGUUUGUGGUGACAGGUUGGGGCCUCGACAGCAAGGUUGGCCUCUAUCCCACGAGGACGAGGACUAGGAUGCGGGGUCCGAACACCACGCAGCCAGGCUGAGCAGCGGAGGGAGACGGCUGCACCCAGAGGAAGCCCUCCCUGGCCUGCAGGAGACUGGACUUCCCCGGCCGGCGGCAGCCUCGCGCCUUCGGCCGCGUUCUGAGGCUGCCCCGCCUGCCCGGAACGGGCCCUCCCGGCUUCCUGCGGCCUCGAACUUCCCGGCCCCGAAAGGACCAGGCCCUGUUUUGCGCCCUACUCGCCCUCCUAGGCCAUGCUUCCCACCCAGCAGCCUCAGACACGGGGACGCUCACUUCCCGCCCAAACUUUCCUUGCCAGCUGGAGUUUGGCGGGAGGACGAGACCUGAGUUCAGACAGCCCCUGCAAGUCCAGAUUCUGCUUUGGGAUGGGGAUUAACUUUAAAACCAAAAAGCCAGCCUCCUUUGGGGUGAAGACAGUUGCAGAGUUUAUAGUCUCUGCACACUCUUCAAACCUCACCCACAGCAGUCCCCAGUCACAGUCACAACACCUAGACUCCCCCAGAAAUCUCAUGGCCUCCCCUAACUUGUAGCCCCGCAGGGUGACUCCAGCGCUUUGCUCCUCUCAAAGUCUCACUUGCUCUAGGUAAAUGGCCUCAGAUUAUCAGGGACCCACUGGCAAACUCGUUCUUACCCAUGGGUCAAGGAAGAGCCCUGGGAACUGUACCAGAAUCAAAGUCUGAAGAGGGAAAAGCAGCUCUUCCUAGGUAGGACACAGGACCGGUUCCUCGGCGGCAUUGGGCGGGUGAGUCAGAGGAGUUGAGCGCUCAGGAGCAGCCUCAGGCCACACCAGGUUUCAAUGGCCUAGACCUGCCCACAGGAUGUGACCAUUGUUGAUACCUUGUGUCCAGGAGCUCAGAUUUUCCUAUGAGGGCAAGACUUUGGAGCGCGAGAGGGGGUGCCUCUGCCCUCUACGUCUUACUCCUUACAUUGGACUCCAGGAGAGAGAGAGAGAGCAGGACUUGUCCUGUCAGACCUGGGCACAGGCCUCACCCAGAGUCUCCCUUGAUCUGGGAGCUUUGCUUCCAUGAAGAAAGGGUGCUGGACCUGUGAACUGGGGAUCCCAGCAAAAAAAGCAGCUGCACUUAGACUAUCGCACUCUCACCCACCUUAUGGAGCCCCAGGCCUACAACCUGGCCAUGCAAACCCGGGUGCCCUCCGACUUGCCAGAAUGCGAGAACACAGCCGGAGAGACCCUGAUGCCCAAGCCCAGAUGCCCAAACCCUUGGCGCUGGUGGGGGGGGGGUCGCUGCACCCCACACAUGUUUACAUCGGUGCCCCCUUAUCUUAUAUGUAACAGCAAUAUAUAUGUUAAUUGAAAACUUCUGAAUUUAAAAAGGUUGUGACAAGUU